UUUCUGUAGGUGAACCUGCGGAAGGAUCAUUAACGAGUUAGGGUCUUUUAGGCCCGACCUCCCAACCCUAUGUUUAUUGAACCUCUGUUGCUUCGGCGGACCCGUCUCACGGCCGCCGGAGGACCGCUGCGAGGCGUCCUCUGGCCAGCGUCCGCCGAUGGCCAACCCACUAAACUCUGAAUGAAUCGUGUCAUAUGUCUAAGUCUAUGAUUAAAUUAAAGUAAAACUUUCAACAACGGAUCUCUUGGUUCUG
RNAcentral lists this unclassified non-coding RNA (253 nucleotides) under plant metagenome. RNAcentral describes it as "partial contains small subunit ribosomal RNA, internal transcribed spacer 1, and 5.8S ribosomal RNA". The record is from RNAcentral.